This 1063-nucleotide long non-coding RNA is filed under the name Oryctolagus cuniculus (rabbit). RNAcentral's name for it is "lncRNA (ENSOCUG00000036835.1)". Lineage: Eukaryota; Metazoa; Chordata; Mammalia; Lagomorpha; Leporidae. The record is from RNAcentral.
GAGAGGAUAGAAGUUAAUAGAUUUUCAUAAUUACUGUGAUCUGUGGAAGCCUCUACACAAGUUGUGUGAGGAGCGGUAAGAAAGUAAAGUGAAAAGGAAAAUAUAUCCCCUCCCCUUCAAAAAUGUGUCCCCAUAAUGGAGUAGAUGAUGUGGCCUUGAAAACUAUGACUUUCGGUAUAAUGGAUUUUUCACAUGAAUAACUGUGUGAGUCACACGUUCUGUCAGAGUGGUGUUGCCAGCAAAUUACAAAUGUAUGAAACAGCAUAAUGAAGUCAUCUAAGAAGUAGAAAUAGAAAGUGAAUCCUAGAUAGACAGUGUUAGGAUGAUAGCAUUCCUUCUCUCAACCCCAGUGUAUUUUUUUUUUUUUACCUUUUCUCCAAUGUACUUCCUAUCACAGAGUUUGUGAAUGAACAAGAAGUUUUGUAUUUCUGCUAGGAAACACUGCUUCAGACCCAUGAAAACUGUAAGACCACUUUCUGAGCAGCUAUGAUGUAUGACCAUUAAUAUGACUUGGAAACAUCCAAGAAUAGGAUUCCUAGACUUGUCAGGCUACCUGGCUGUCUGGCACAUCAUUGUGCACUGCUCUAAGUUUCUGAGGCCUUUGUGUAGAUCCUGAUUUAUGCAGAGGCAUACCCAAGCAUCACUGGAUCCAGUACUGAGGGAGAAAGUCAUGGAAUGCUGCAUGGAAGAGAGCCCACCUGAAUCCAAGGAAACACCACCACUGAGGGGGUUGUGAUGAUCACCUUCCCCUCCACCAUGGGGUCUUCUAACACCCUUUACAGGAUUUUCAUGGGUACCUGAUAAAGGACUUGUUGCACCUUCCCCUCCUCUUUCUCCUUUCUCCCCCACUCCCCAUCCUUACUUCCUCCCUUUUGUGGGGAUCCUUCUUGCCUAACCAGACCCUUCUUAACUACUUGCAAUGCAAAUGGCCAAACAUAUGAGCUGCACAGAGAAGAUGUGAAACAAAUAAGAGGAAAGUUUUCUGAGACUUCAAAGGUUUCCCUACACUUCUGCAAGCUGCCUUCUAUCUCCACCUCUCAGUGGUAAAUUCCCUCAUUAACUG